Molecule: ribosomal RNA, 253 nt
Filed under: uncultured bacterium
Lineage: Bacteria
Description: partial 16S ribosomal RNA
Rfam family: Bacterial small subunit ribosomal RNA
Source: RNAcentral
UACGUAGGGUGCGAGCGUUGUCCGGAAUUAUUGGGCGUAAAGAGCUCGUAGGCGGUUUGUCACGUCUGCUGUGAAAUCCCGAGGCUCAACCUCGGGCCUGCAGUGGGUACGGGCAGACUGGAGUGCGGUAGGGGAGAAUGGAAUUCCUGGUGUAGCGGUGGAAUGCGCAGAUAUCAGGAGGAACACCGAUGGCGAAGGCAGUUCUCUGGGCCGUAACUGACGCUGAGGUGCGAAAGCGUGGGGAGCAAACAGG